This 305-nucleotide ribosomal RNA is filed under the name uncultured bacterium. RNAcentral describes it as "bacterial SSU rRNA". It matches the Rfam family "Bacterial small subunit ribosomal RNA", at positions 333 to 655 of the family's 1533-position model. The record is from RNAcentral.
UAGGUCCUACGGGGCGCAGCAGUGGGGAAUAUUGCACAAUGGGGGAAACCCUGAUGCAGCGACGCCGCGUGAGUGAAGAAGUAUUUCGGUAUGUAAAGCUCUAUCAGCAGGGAAGAAAACGACGGUGCCUGACUAAGAAGCCCCGGCUAACUACGUGCCAGCAGUCGCGGUAAUACGUAGGGGGCAAGCGUUAUCCGGAUUUACUGGGUGUAAAGGGAGCGUAGACGGCAUGGCAAGUCAGAUGUGAAAGCCCGGGGCUCAACCCCGGGACUGCAUUUGAAACUGUCAGGCUGGAGUGCAGGAGG